GACGAACGCUGGCGGCGUGCUUAACACAUGCAAGUCGAGCGGUAAGGCCCUUUCGGGGGUACACGAGCGGCGAACGGGUGAGUAACACGUGGGUGACCUGCCCUCAGCUCUGGGAUAAGCCUGGGAAACCGGGUCUAAUACUGGAUAUGACUCCAUGACGCAUGUUGUGGGGUGAAAGCCUUGUGCGGCUGAGGAUGGGCCCGCGGCCUAUCAGCUUGUUGGUGGGGNGAUGGCCUACCAAGGCGACGACGGGUAGCCGGCCUGAGAGGGCGACCGG
RNAcentral lists this ribosomal RNA (277 nucleotides) under uncultured bacterium. RNAcentral describes it as "partial 16S ribosomal RNA". It matches the Rfam family "Bacterial small subunit ribosomal RNA", at positions 28 to 307 of the family's 1533-position model. The record is from RNAcentral.